AUCCAACUUGCAGCAGAUAAAAGUUUUUUUCUUUUUUAAUUUUCUUAUCUUCCGACUUGAUUUGAGAUAUAAGCUGAUUGCAUCUAGAAAAAAUGAGGUCGUUACUUCUUGCUCUGAUUGUAUUCUCUACAUUGGUACUGCUCGCUCAGGCCAACUCUUUACCGUGGAAAAUAUUUUGGCGAAGAGAUCCGCCCUGCACCGUGUGGUGGCCGUGUGCUGAAGGUGAGGUGUGGGAGUGCUGCCCUAAUCAAUAUGAAUAUCCAUUUUUCGGUAAAUAAAUGGUCCUCCCGAGCUUUAUUCGCCUAAUAAAUUACACUUAAUACAUCA
Molecule: long non-coding RNA, 327 nt
Organism: Physella acuta
Lineage: Eukaryota; Metazoa; Mollusca; Gastropoda; Physidae
Source: RefSeq, a predicted model, not a curated record